Molecule: long non-coding RNA, 507 nt
Filed under: Gossypium raimondii (Peruvian cotton)
Lineage: Eukaryota; Viridiplantae; Streptophyta; Magnoliopsida; Malvales; Malvaceae
Description: long non-coding RNA (GRAI_LNC003998)
Source: RNAcentral
UUGAGGGAAAAGUAAUGGGGUGGUGGUUUGAUAGGAUUAGGUUGUUGGGAUUGUUUUAAUAUAUUAUUGUAUUUUAUUUGAAAUAAUCAAGACAUUUUCUUCUUUUUCUCAAAAAUAUUUUUCCCAAUUUUUACAUUCUUUUUUCUCUCUUAAUCCUCAUGUUUCAUUUUCUUUUUUUUUCUAUGUUAGUUUCUUACUCUUCAUUAUUUUGUUUUUCUUCUAUUUUUAUUUUCUUCAUCGGGUUUUGUGCUUCGGUAGUGAAAGUUGAUUGAAUAGUGGAAAUUAGAUUGGUGUGUAAGUAAUGUCUUCCAUCUUUUUCGUUUCGGAGAGUUUCCUUUCUUGGAAGUUUAGUUUUAUUGAUAAGUGAUUUUGUGUUUAAUCGUGUUUAUUGAUUAUUUUAUUUAGGGAAAACUUAGGAAGUGAAUAAUUCAUCGGCGAGUUAAGGUUUGGGGAAGUACUGUUCGUUCGAAGGUAGAUGUUUUUGUCAAUUUGGGACUGUUUUGGCUG